This is a non-coding RNA of Plasmodium berghei, 387 nucleotides long. The record is from Rfam. NCBI's taxonomy places the organism in Eukaryota, Apicomplexa, Aconoidasida, Haemosporida, Plasmodiidae.
UUGGUUCAGACAGUUGGUACAGCAAUUGGUUGACAAACCAGUGUUGCGAAGCUACGUCUGUUGGAUAAUGGCUGAACGCCUCUUAAGUCAGAACCCAUGCUGAUUAAACAAUAUUAUUUUGUCUUUUUUGUACAACUUUUACUGCGAAAUGUAAAAGAGAAAAUAUACAUAUUCAUAACCAAAAUGGUUAUAAUAUAAAUAUUCCUAUAAACUCAUAUAGUUGACUCUUAUUUUAUAUAAGAGUCUUCCUUAAUGAGCGAACGUAAUUUAACAACGAAAAAGAAAUACACAAACUGUAGACGACUUUUUAAUCUGGGGGUGCUGUAAACAUGAAAGUAAACCCUGUUUUACGAUCUGUUGAGGCUUAUCCUUCCUGAUAAAGUGUUA